AAUUUCAAUUGUCACCACACCAAAACUGUAAACAUCGCAUUUUUCAUUCACCAUCAUCGUGUAAGCUAGCUCUGCAAAAGCAUCCAAUCACACACUUUAGUUUGCAGGUUUUCAGUAGCAUUGCAACUCAUUGUGUAAAUACAAUGCAAAGUGAUCAUUUUUUUGAUUAAAACCUAUGCAAAAGUUGAUUGCAUUUAUUGUUUAACUGUAUUGAUCGUUUAUUGUAAUAACUGUACUGAUCUUAGUUUGUA
Molecule: long non-coding RNA, 251 nt
Organism: Manihot esculenta (cassava)
Lineage: Eukaryota; Viridiplantae; Streptophyta; Magnoliopsida; Malpighiales; Euphorbiaceae
Exons: 2
Source: RefSeq, a predicted model, not a curated record